Molecule: ribosomal RNA, 253 nt
Filed under: uncultured bacterium
Lineage: Bacteria
Description: partial 16S ribosomal RNA
Rfam family: Bacterial small subunit ribosomal RNA
Source: RNAcentral
UACAGAGGGUGCAAGCGUUGUUCGGAAUCAUUGGGCGUAAAGGGCGUGUAGGCGGUCUGUUAAGUCAUGUGUGAAAUCCCUCGGCUCAACCGGGGAACGACGCAUGAAACUGACAAGCUAGAGUACCAAAGAGGGGGGUGGAAUUCCCGGUGUAGCGAUGAAAUGCGUAGAUAUCGUAAGGAAGACCAGUGGCGAAGGCGAGUCUCUGGACAGCAACUGACGCUGAGGCACGAAGGCCAGGGGAGCAAACGGG